AAUAAGGGGUUGUUUAAUUAGUCUAGCUUUGAAAGUCAUUUUUGGAUAAUUUAUGUUGGUUGGGUUUGAAAAAUUAAUUUUAGUUAAAAAAUUGUAGAAUGUUUGGUAGAGUUUAGCAAAAAAGCGAAUUUCUGAAAUAAUUUUAAAAAACUGCUUGGCAAAAAUUUUUUUUUCUAUUUGCAAAUAAUAAAUUUAAAUUUAAAAUUUAAAAUCUAAAAUAAAAUUUAAAUUUGAUAUUUAAAUUUCAAAUCUAAUUUUAAAUUUUAAAAUUUUAAAA
This 277-nucleotide long non-coding RNA is filed under the name Ananas comosus (pineapple). RNAcentral describes it as "long non-coding RNA (ACOM_LNC007566)". Lineage: Eukaryota; Viridiplantae; Streptophyta; Magnoliopsida; Poales; Bromeliaceae. The record is from RNAcentral.